RNAcentral lists this ribosomal RNA (448 nucleotides) under uncultured bacterium. Its description in RNAcentral is "bacterial SSU rRNA". It matches the Rfam family "Bacterial small subunit ribosomal RNA", at positions 329 to 794 of the family's 1533-position model. The record is from RNAcentral.
GGCCAGACUCCUACGGGAGGCAGCAGUGGGGGAUAUUGCACAAUGGGGGGAACCCUGAUGCAGCGACGCCGCGUGGGUGAAGAAGCGCCUCGGCGCGUAAAGCCCUGUCAGCAGGGAAGAAAAUGACGGUACCUGAAGAAGAAGCCCCGGCUAACUACGUGCCUGCAGCCGCGGUAAUACGUAGGGGGCAAGCGUUAUCUGGAUUUACUGGGUGUAAAGGGGGCGCAGACGGCGAUGCAAGCCAGAUGUGAAAGCCCGGGGCUCAACCCCGGGACUGCAUUUGGAACUGUGUGGCUGGAGUGUCGGAGAGGCAGGCGGAAUUCCUAGUGUAGCGGUGAAAUGCGUAGAUAUUAGGAGGAACACCAGUGGCGAAGGCGGCCUGCUGGACGAUGACUGACGUUGAGGCUCGAAAGCGUGGGGAGCAAACAGGAUUAGAUACCCUGGUACC